RNAcentral lists this ribosomal RNA (226 nucleotides) under Vibrio cholerae. Its description in RNAcentral is "partial 16S ribosomal RNA". It matches the Rfam family "Bacterial small subunit ribosomal RNA", at positions 1 to 221 of the family's 1533-position model. The record is from RNAcentral. Lineage: Bacteria; Pseudomonadati; Pseudomonadota; Gammaproteobacteria; Vibrionales; Vibrionaceae.
UUAAUUGAAGAGUUUGAUCAUGGCUCAGAUUGAACGCUGGCGGCAGGCCUAACACAUGCAAGUCGAGCGGCAGCACAGAGGAACUUGUUCCUUGGGUGGCGAGCGGCGGACGGGUGAGUAAUGCCUGGGAAAUUGCCCGGUAGAGGGGGGAUAACCAUUGGAAACGAUGGCUAAUACCGCAUAACCUCGCAAGAGCAAAGCAGGGGACCUUCGGGCCUUGCGCUAC